GAACUACAAAAAACACCACAUAGAGAGACACGAACUCUCAAAGAAACUAUGGAGCAAAGAGAGAGUUGCCAUCCUUCAUUGAGAGGAGGGAAGAGAAUGAGCACGUACAGCCACGGUCUCUCUUCAUCUCAGAUCCGAUCACUUGCUGCCUUGUGUGAAACUUUCAUCCCUCCAUUGCCAGUGGACGAUCUCAACAAGGAAAUCCCAGUUAAUAAGUUGCAGGCUGUUCGUUCCUUCUACAAAUCUUCUGGGUCUGAGCCUCCAAUCCCCGAUGAGGUAGCAGAGUUUCUGGUCAGGAGAGGUGUACAAGAAGUUGUGUUUCUAGUGAAAUUGGUUUUGAAGGUUCUCUCUUUCAGAUUGGGAACACUGUUGCUUUGUGGGUUCAUGUGUUUUGAUUGGAACUGGCCCUUCAUUCACAAAUUCUCUGAAAUUUCUUUAGAAAAGAGAGAGGAAAUUCUCAAGAAAUGGUCGAGGGAGAAGUUCUUCAUACCUCUCAGAGUAGUGUUUGCAGCUGUAAAAAUCUUCUGCUUGUACACCUUCUUCUCCAUGACAGAUGAAAAUUUACAGAACCCAGCAUGGGAAGCAAUUGGAUAUCAUAAAGACACAAGGGAAAAAUUGAGAAAAACCAAAGAGGAGAGACCUCUUCAAAGGGGGGUCAUAGAACUUGCAAAUGAAGAUGACUCGACUCUUAUCCAAUCUCUCAACCAAAAAGGCCUCCAAGUCAUUGAAGAUCUAGAGCACAAAACCUGCAAGAUCAAAUGUGAUGUUGUGAUUGUUGGUUCUGGUUGUGGUGGAGGGGUUGCAGCUGCAGUGCUUGCAAGCUCAGGCCAGAAAGUACUGGUCCUAGAGAAAGGGAACUACUAUGUGCCAGAAGAUUAUUCUUCACUGGAAGGGCCUUCUAUGGCUGAACUUUAUGAGUCCGGUGGAAUUCUAUCAACUCGCAAUGGGAAAACGAUGAUAUUGGCUGGAUCAACAGUAGGUGGAGGCUCCGCUGUAAACUGGUCUGCCUGCAUAAGGACACCAGAUUCUGUUCUCAGAGACUGGCGUGUGGAUCAUAAGAUUCCACUUUUUGGAAGCUACGACUAUCAAAAUGCAAUGGAAGCUGUGUGUAAGAGGAUUGGUGUUACAGAUAAUUGUUCCAAAGAAGGAUUUCAGAAUCAAGUUCUUCGGAAAGGGUGUGAGAAUCUUGGCUUUAAAAUUGAUUCAGUUCCAAGGAAUUCCUCUGGAGAUCAUUAUUGUGGAUCUUGCUGCUACGGCUGUAGAACAGGAGAAAAGAAAGGGACUGAUUCCACCUGGCUGGUUGACGCUGUUGUCUGCGGUGCUGUGAUCCUAACAGGAUGCAAAGCUGAUAAAUUCAUAUUGGAGGAUGGUAACAUUGGAAGUAGGAAAAAAUGCUUGGGAGUGGUUGCGAGAGCUUCAAAUACAAACAUCACUAAAAAGCUGCAGGUGGAGGCUAGAGUAACACUAUCGGCAUGCGGUUCUCUCCUGACACCUCCUUUAAUGAUCUCCAGUGGUUUGGUGAAUCCAAAUAUUGGCAGGAACCUUCAUCUUCAUCCAGUUGUAAUGGCCUGGGGAUACUUUCCAGAACAUUUAUCACCUUUUAAAGGCAAAAUUUACGAGGGAGGAAUCAUCACAUCUAUUCACAAAGUGGUCUCAGAGUGGUCCAAGGUCUGCGCCAUUAUAGAAACGCCAGCAAUUGGGCCAGCCUCAUUUGCAUCAUUAUCUCCAUGGGUUUCAGGGCAGGACUUCAAGGACAAGAUGGUAAAGUAUGCUAGAACAGCUCACUUGUUUGCAUUGAUCAGAGACCAAGGCUCAGGAGAAGUGAAAAUGGAAGGUAGAAUUAGUCACCGCCUGGACCAGCUGGAUAAGGACAAUCUUAGAAUUGGGUUGAGGCGAGCUUUAAGAAUUUUAGUUGCUGCUGGAGCUGUGGAAGUAGGUACUUACCGAAGUGAUGGCCAAAAGAUUGCAUGCAAAGGAAUUAAGGAGAAAGAUUUGGAGGAGUUCUUGGACACAGUUUCAGCACCUGGUGGACUAAAAUCAAAGGAGCAGCACUGGACCAUGCUCUUUUCUGCACAUCAAAUGGGUAGUUGUAGGAUGGGAGCCACAGAGGAAGAAGGUGCCGUUGAUGAAAAUGGAGAAAGCUGGGAGGCCAUGAACUUGUACGUAUGCGAUGGAAGCGUCUUGCCAACUGCAAUUGGGGUCAACCCCAUGAUCACAAUCCAAUCCACAGCAUACUGCAUUUCCAACAAAAUAGCUGAAUCCCUCAAACAUUAAUAGACAGCUAAUUUCUAGCAUGCAAGAAUUAUCCUCUGGUAAUUGUAUUUAAGGAAUAAUCAAUAAAGAAUUUUCCAUUGAUAAUUGUAUUUAAGGAAUAAUCAAUAAAGAAUUUUCCAUUGA
RNAcentral lists this unclassified non-coding RNA (2397 nucleotides) under Hevea brasiliensis (rubber tree). Lineage: Eukaryota; Viridiplantae; Streptophyta; Magnoliopsida; Malpighiales; Euphorbiaceae. The record is from RNAcentral.